RNAcentral lists this unclassified non-coding RNA (229 nucleotides) under uncultured Gymnopus. RNAcentral describes it as "sequence contains ITS1". The record is from RNAcentral. Lineage: Eukaryota; Fungi; Basidiomycota; Agaricomycetes; Agaricales; Tricholomataceae.
UUGAAAAGUUUUGGGGAUACUGUUGCUGGCUUAUAACAAGGCAUGUGCACGUAUCUCUAAUCUAUUCAUCCACCUGUGCACUUUUUGUAGGAGUUUCUUUUCAAGUUGGUAUACAAGCGUCUCUAGGGACUUUGUAGAAGAUUUGAUCAGGGCUUCUAUGUUUUACAAACUAGUUAAGCAUGUUUAGAAUGUCUUUUUAUUGGGACUUGAUUGACCCUUUAAACUUGUA